GGGGAAUAUUGCGCAAUGGGGGAAACCCUGACGCAGCAAUACCGCGGGAGUGAAGAAGGUUUUCGGAUCGUAAACCUCUGUCAGAAGGGAAGAAACCGCACCGUGCUAAUCAGCGGUGCCUUGACGGUACCUUCAAAGGAAGCACCGGCUAACUCCGUGCCAGCAGCCGCGGUAAUACGGGGGGUGAAGCGUUAAUCGGAAUUACUGGGCGUAAAGCGCACGUAGGCUGCUUUGUAAGUCAGGGGUGAAAUCCCACGGCUCAACCGUGGAACUGCCUUUGAUACUACUUAGCUUGAAUCCGGGAGAGGGUGGCGGAAUUCCAGGUGUAGGAGUGAAAUCCGUAGAUAUCUGGAGGAACAUCAGUGGCGAAGGCGGCCACCUGGACCGGUAUUGACGCUGAGGUGCGAAAGCGUGGGGAGCAAACA
This 425-nucleotide ribosomal RNA is filed under the name uncultured Desulfovibrio sp. RNAcentral's name for it is "bacterial SSU rRNA". It matches the Rfam family "Bacterial small subunit ribosomal RNA", at positions 356 to 774 of the family's 1533-position model. The record is from RNAcentral. Lineage: Bacteria; Pseudomonadati; Thermodesulfobacteriota; Desulfovibrionia; Desulfovibrionales; Desulfovibrionaceae.